AGUGAACGCUGGCGGUAGGCCUAACACAUGCAAGUCGAACGGCAGCACAGUAAGAGCUUGCUCUUACGGGUGGCGAGUGGCGGACGGGUGAGGAAUACAUCGGAAUCUACUUUUUCGUGGGGGAUAACGUAGGGAAACUUACGCUAAUACCGCAUACGACAUACGGGUGAAAGCAGGGGAUCUUCGGACCUUGCGCGAUUGAAUGAGCCGAUGUCGGAUUAGCUAGUUGGCGGGGUAAAGGCCCACCAAGGCGACGAUCCGUAGCUGGUCUGAGAGGAUGAUCAGCCACACUGGAACUGAGACACGGUCCAGACUCCUACGGGAGGCAGCAGUGGGGAAUAUUGGACAAUGGGCGCAAGCCUGAUCCAGCCAUACCGCGUGGGUGAAGAAGGCCUUCGGGUUGUAAAGCCCUUUUGUUGGGAAAGAAAGGCAGCAGGUUAAUACCCCGCUGUUCUGACGGUACCCAAAGAAUAAGCACCGGCUAACUUCGUG
RNAcentral lists this ribosomal RNA (492 nucleotides) under uncultured bacterium. RNAcentral's name for it is "partial 16S ribosomal RNA". It matches the Rfam family "Bacterial small subunit ribosomal RNA", at positions 29 to 507 of the family's 1533-position model. The record is from RNAcentral.